This 439-nucleotide ribosomal RNA is filed under the name uncultured bacterium. Its description in RNAcentral is "partial 16S ribosomal RNA". It matches the Rfam family "Bacterial small subunit ribosomal RNA", at positions 339 to 795 of the family's 1533-position model. The record is from RNAcentral.
CUACGGGUGGCAGCAGUGAGGAAUAUUGGACAAUGGGCGAAAGCCUGAUCCAGCCAUGCCGCGUGAAUGAUGAAGGCCUUAGGGUUGUAAAGUUCUUUUAGUAGUGAAGAUGAUGACGGUAACUACAGAAAAAGCUCCGGCUAACUCCGUGCCAGCAGCCGCGGUAAUACGGAGGGAGCGAGCGUUGUUCGGAUUUACUGGGCGUAAAGCGUGCGUAGGUGGUUUCUCAAGUAAGAAGUGAAAGCCCAGGGCUUAACCCUGGAACUGCUUUUUAAACUGGGUCACUAGAAUAUAGGAGAGGUAGAUGGAAUUCCGAGUGUAGAGGUGAAAUUCGUAGAUAUUCGGAGGAACACCAAUGGCGAAAGCAGUCUACUGGACUAUUAUUGACACUGAGGCACGAAAGCGUGGGGAGCAAACAGGAUUAGAUACCCUAGUAGUC